AGCGAACGCUGGCGGCAGGCUUAACACAUGCAAGUCGAGCGGACCUUUCGGGGUCAGCGGCGGACGGGUGAGUAACGCGUGGGAACGUGCCUUGCGGUUCGGAAUAACCCGGGGAAACUAGGGCUAAUACCGGAUACGCCCUCACGGGGAAAGGUUUGCUGCCGGAAGAUCGGCCCGCGACUGAUUACCUAGUUGGUAGGCUAACGGCCUACCAAGGCGACGAGCAGUAACUGGUCUGAGAGGAAGAUCAGCCACACUGGGACUAAGACACGGCCCAGAAUCCUACGGGAGGCAGCAGUGGGGAAUAUAGGACAAUGGGCGCAAGCCUGAUCCAGUCAUGCCUGGUGAGUGAUGAAGGCCUUAGGGUUGUAAAGCUCUUUUAUCCGGGACGAUAAUGACGGUACCGGAGGAAUAAGCCCCGGCUAACUUCGUG
Molecule: ribosomal RNA, 433 nt
Filed under: uncultured bacterium
Lineage: Bacteria
Description: partial 16S ribosomal RNA
Rfam family: Bacterial small subunit ribosomal RNA
Source: RNAcentral